Molecule: ribosomal RNA, 561 nt
Filed under: Triticum aestivum (bread wheat)
Lineage: Eukaryota; Viridiplantae; Streptophyta; Magnoliopsida; Poales; Poaceae
Description: partial small subunit ribosomal RNA
Source: RNAcentral
AUGGAGGAGGUCCUCCGUGACGUCAACGCCAUGCCCAAGCGUCCCGUCAUCCAGGGACUCACCGACGACUUCAACGCCUCCCCGGACCGCUCGGGCGACGGCACGGUCCCCGUCCAGUACAAUCAGGUGCACACCUGGUUUCAGAACCGGAGGUACACGCAGAAACGGAGGGGUGAGCGGCCGCCGGCACGAGGGAAGAUGCUGCCCACGGGGGCUGAGGCACAGUACCCAGCUUCCUACUGGGUUCAGUCAUCUUCCCCUUCCAACUCCGAAUCACAGUCAGGGAAUACUUCUUCGGAUGGUGGCCUGGUCCAGCUUGAAGCAAAGUCACCAAGAAAUGGUGCAUGGUUCGAUGUUGCUGCCAUCCUGUCCUGCAGAUUUUCUGAAACUGGGGACCAGGAAAUACAAGUUUGGUUUUCUGGAUUUGGGGCUGAGGAAGAAGAAUGGAUUAAUGUUUGUAAAUCUGUGAGACUGCGUUCUCUCCCAUGUAUGGCCACAGAAUGUGUUGGUGUGCUUCCUGGGGAGUUAUCAGGAAAGAAAAGAGCAGGCCCUCUAUUUUGA